UCUUGCCAUCGGAUGUGCCCAGAUGGGAUUAGCUAGUAGGUGGGGUAACGGCUCACCUAGGCGACGAUCCCUAGCUGGUCUGAGAGGAUGACCAGCCACACUGGAACUGAGACACGGUCCAGACUCCUACGGGAGGCAGCAGUGGGGAAUAUUGCACAAUGGGCGCAAGCCUGAUGCAGCCAUGCCGCGUGUAUGAAGAAGGCCUUCGGGUUGUAAAGUACUUUCAGCGGGGAGGAAGGGAGUAAAGUUAAUACCUUUGCUCAUUGACGUUACCCGCAGAAGAAGCACCGGCUAACUCCGUGCCAGCAGCCGCGGUAAUACGGAGGGUGCAAGCGUUAAUCGGAAUUACUGGGCGUAAAGCGCACGCAGG
This 370-nucleotide ribosomal RNA is filed under the name bacterium endosymbiont of Bemisia tabaci. Its description in RNAcentral is "bacterial SSU rRNA". It matches the Rfam family "Bacterial small subunit ribosomal RNA", at positions 213 to 575 of the family's 1533-position model. The record is from RNAcentral.